RNAcentral lists this ribosomal RNA (407 nucleotides) under uncultured bacterium. Its description in RNAcentral is "partial 16S ribosomal RNA". It matches the Rfam family "Bacterial small subunit ribosomal RNA", at positions 30 to 526 of the family's 1533-position model. The record is from RNAcentral.
AUUGAACGCUGGCGGCAGGCCUAACACAUGCAAGUCGAGCGGAGCGACGGACGGGUGAGUAAUGCCUAGGAAUCUGCCUGGUAGUGUGGGAUAACGUACGGAAACGGGCGCUAAUACCGCAUACUAACAGAUGAGCCUAGGUCGGAUUAGCUAGUUGGUGGGGUAAAGGCCUACCAAGGCGACGAUCCGUACCUGGUCUGAGAGGAUGAUCAGUCACCCUGGAACUGAGACACGGGCCAGACUCCUACGGGAGGCCGCAGUGGGGAAUAUUGGAAAAUGGGCGAAAGCCGGAUCCAGCCAUGCCGCGGUUGGGAAGAAGGUCUUCGGAUUGUAAAGCACUUUAAGUUGGGAGGCGUUACCAACAGAAUAAGCACCGGCUAACUUCGUGCCAGCAGCCGCGGUAAUAC